UACGAUUUCUCCUGUUGCAAGAGUCGAAGUUAUCAUGAAACGAGGAAGGGAUAUAGCGUCUUUUUUUGCCCCAGUAAACAAAAAAGUGAGAAAAACAGCAGUGAGAAACAAAUGAAGGUGUUGAGGAGCAGGAAGAGGGAGAGCCAGAGGAGUCGGUGGAGGAUGGAGAGAGGGCAUGUGAUGAAAGUGAGGGCUCUGACACAGAGAGGGAAAUCCCAGAGGGUGAGGAGGAAGAAGAGGGUGAGGAGGAUGAAGAAGAGGGUGAGGAGGAAGAAAACCGGGACAGAGAGAGGAACAGCCUGGGGGACAGCAAGUGGAUCCAUGUGGAUCAAGUACUGCACCAUCAGAUAGCAGCAAGUCCCAGAAUGAUGUACCAGUAUAGCCAAACUUGAAUAUAUUCCCAACCAUUUUGAUGGGGGACAGAAGACGGAGCUUCAGGCCAAACUGGUCUAAUCUUCAUCCAUGGCUCGAGUAUUCUGUCAUGAUGGACUCUACAUAUUGCUAUGCAUGUAGACAUUUUUCAUUUUUUAUGGCCCUACCUCU
Perca fluviatilis (European perch) is the source of this 543-nucleotide long non-coding RNA. RefSeq lists it as uncharacterized. The transcript has 3 exons. The record is from RefSeq and is a predicted model, not a curated record. NCBI's taxonomy places the organism in Eukaryota, Metazoa, Chordata, Actinopteri, Perciformes, Percidae.